GAUGAACGCUGGCGGCGUGCCUAAUACAUGCAAGUCGAGCGAACAGACGAGGAGCUUGCUCCUCUGACGUUAGCGGCGGACGGGUGAGUAACACGUGGAUAACCUACCUAUAAGACUGGGAUAACUUCGGGAAACCGGAGCUAAUACCGGAUAAUAUAUUGAACCGCAUGGUUCAAUAGUGAAAGACGGUUUUGCUGUCACUUAUAGAUGGAUCCGCGCCGCAUUAGCUAGUUGGUAAGGUAACGGCUUACCAAGGCAACGAUGCGUAACCGACCUGAGAGGGUGAUCGGCCACACUGGAACUGAGACACGGUCCAGACUCCUACGGGAGGCAGCAGUAGGGAAUCUUCCGCAAUGGGCGAAAGCCUGACGGAGCAACGCCGCGUGAGUGAUGAAGGUCUUCGGAUCGUAAAACUCUGUUAUUAGGGAAGAACAAAUGUGUAAGUAACUAUGCACGUCUUGACGGUACCUAAUCAGAAUGCCACGGCUAACUACGUG
This 497-nucleotide ribosomal RNA is filed under the name uncultured bacterium. Its description in RNAcentral is "partial 16S ribosomal RNA". It matches the Rfam family "Bacterial small subunit ribosomal RNA", at positions 28 to 507 of the family's 1533-position model. The record is from RNAcentral.